GAUGAACGCUGGCGGCGUGCCUAAUACAUGCAAGUCGAACGCUGGAGAUCUAGCUUGCUAGAUCGAAGGAGUGGCGAACGGGUGAGUAAUACAUAAGCAACCUACCCACGAAGACUGGGAUAAUCUCUGGAAACGGGGACUAAUACCGGAUAGGUAAUCGGAAGGCAUCUUCUGGUUAUUAAAGGUUAAAAACACUGGUGGAUGGGCUUAUGGCGCAUUAGUUAGUUGGUGAGGUAACGGCCCACCAAGACGAUGAUGCGUAGCCGGACUGAGAGGGUGAACGGCCACAUUGGGACUGAGACACGGCCCAGACUCCUACGGGAGGCAGCAGUAGGGAAUUUUCGGCAAUGGGGGCAACCCUGACCGAGCAACGCCGCGUGAGUGAAGACGGCCUUCGGGUUGUAAAGCUCUGUUGUAAGGGAAGAACGGUAGAUAGAGAAUAUCUAAGUGACGGUACCUUACCAGAAAGCCACGGCUAACCACGUG
RNAcentral lists this ribosomal RNA (486 nucleotides) under uncultured bacterium. RNAcentral describes it as "partial 16S ribosomal RNA". It matches the Rfam family "Bacterial small subunit ribosomal RNA", at positions 28 to 507 of the family's 1533-position model. The record is from RNAcentral.